ACGGGAGGCAGCAGUGAGGAAUAUUGGUCAAUGGGCGAGAGCCUGAACCAGCCAAGUCGCGUGAAGGAAGACGGCCGUUUCGGUUGUAAACUUCUUUUGUUGGGGAGCAAAGUGCGCCACGAGUUGGUGUUUUGCGCGUACCCAAAGAAAAAGCAUCGGCUAACUCCGUGCCAGCAGCCGCGGUAAUACGGAGGAUGCGAGCGUUAUCCGGAUUUAUUGGGUUUAAAGGGUGCGCAGGCGGCGCAUUAAGUCAGCGGUCAAAUGUCGGGGCUCAACCUCGGCCUGCCGUUGAAACUGGUGUGCUAGAGACGGAUCGAGGCAGGCGGAAUGCGAGGUGUAGCGGUGAAAUGCAUAGAUAUCACGCAGAACUCCGAUUGCGAAGGCAGCUUGCCAGAGCCGAUCUGACGCUCAUGCACGAAAGCGUGGGUAUCGAACAGGAUUAGAUACCCUGGUA
This 454-nucleotide ribosomal RNA is filed under the name uncultured Porphyromonadaceae bacterium. RNAcentral describes it as "partial 16S ribosomal RNA". It matches the Rfam family "Bacterial small subunit ribosomal RNA", at positions 341 to 792 of the family's 1533-position model. The record is from RNAcentral. Lineage: Bacteria; Pseudomonadati; Bacteroidota; Bacteroidia; Bacteroidales; Porphyromonadaceae.